GAUGAAGAACGUAGCGAAAUGCGAUAAGUAAUGUGAAUUGCAGAAUUCAGUGAAUCAUCGAAUCUUUGAACGUACAUUGCGCCCCUUGGUAUUCCGAGGGGCAUGCCUGUUCGAGCGUCAUUAUAACCCCUCAAGCUCAGCUUGGUGUUGGGGCCUGCCGCACGGGCAGCCCUUAAAAUCAGUGGCGGUGCCAUCUGGCUCUAAGCGUAGUAAUUCUUCUCGCUAUAGAGUCCCGGUGGAUGCUUGCCAUUAACCCCCAAUUUUCUAUGGUUGACCUCGGAUCAGGUAGGGAUACCCGCUGAACUUAAGCAUAUCAAUAAGCGGAGGA
Molecule: unclassified non-coding RNA, 328 nt
Filed under: soil metagenome
Description: partial contains 5.8S ribosomal RNA, internal transcribed spacer 2, and large subunit ribosomal RNA
Rfam family: 5.8S ribosomal RNA (bases 1-120)
Source: RNAcentral